CAGCAGCUGGUUGCGGUGCGGGUAGUGACCGACGACCCUGGUGAGGACGCGGAUGGCCACCUCCUCCGGCAGACAGGAGCCCAGCAGCGUCUGCUGGAGGUCUGGGAGGAGACGGCGCCCGGCAGGAACCAUCUGGCAGCAAUUCCCUCCAGGAUGCAGAACCCCGCUGGGACAAAAGGGUGACAAGGAGGAGGGGGACAAUGACACAGGUCACAACCCGCCACCAAAGCCACAUCAAAGGCAUCGGGGCUUUAUGGGGUUGGAGACACAUCUGUGGUGUGGAUGGAGACAUCCCCCCCUGCAGAAUACCCCUUAACUCUGCCGGUCCCUGGGUUUGGGCACUCACGCGGUGACGAAGUCGAGCACGGCGCUGGUG
Pezoporus flaviventris is the source of this 376-nucleotide long non-coding RNA. RefSeq lists it as uncharacterized. Lineage: Eukaryota; Metazoa; Chordata; Aves; Psittaciformes; Psittacidae. The record is from RefSeq and is a predicted model, not a curated record. The transcript has 3 exons.